AGGAGAAUAAUGCGGGUGCGGGAGAUGAUUAGCCGGAGGAAGAAACGGUGCGUGCUUAGUCGCUGUGGGGCCUGGUCGACACGGAUUAGCACUGCCCUGCCCCUGUGUGUGGUGCAUGCAAAGAAGGAAGAUGGGUUGAUGUUCUCAAAAAAAGAAGAAGAAGAUGGGUUGGUUAUUAGCAGUGGAUGCUGCCGGGAUGUAUAUGCAUUGAUUAAUUAAGCGAGGGGCGGUUGGUCCUAGUAUUAGAUUCUUGUGUUUUGGAAUGGAGGCGU
RNAcentral lists this long non-coding RNA (272 nucleotides) under Hordeum vulgare. Its description in RNAcentral is "long non-coding RNA (HVUL_LNC001777)". Lineage: Eukaryota; Viridiplantae; Streptophyta; Magnoliopsida; Poales; Poaceae. The record is from RNAcentral.